This 255-nucleotide ribosomal RNA is filed under the name uncultured bacterium. RNAcentral's name for it is "partial 16S ribosomal RNA". It matches the Rfam family "Bacterial small subunit ribosomal RNA", at positions 524 to 777 of the family's 1533-position model. The record is from RNAcentral.
UACGGAGGGGGCUAGCGUUGUUCGGAUUUACUGGGCGUAAAGGGCGCGUAGGCGGCGUGACAAGUCACUUGUGAAAUCUCCGGGCUUAACUCGGAACGGUCAAGUGAUACUGUCGUGCUAGAGUACAGAAGGGGCAACUGGAAUUCUCGGUGUAGCGGUGAAAUGCGUAGAUAUCGAGAGGAACACCUGCGGCGAAGGCGGGUUGCUGGGCUGAUACUGACGCUGAGGCGCGAAAGCUAGGGGGAGCGAACGGGG